AGUUGCUUCCGGGUGGUUUAAUUGAUUGGAACACACAGUUUGAUGGUAGACAUGGGUUUGGGAGGUUUUUACUAUGAGAGGGUAACAGGAUUAAUUGAGACAGAGUUGCCGCGAAUUUUGUGUUGUGGCGGGUUGUGAGACUCGACUAUUGGUUUGAUGUAAUUGAAAUUUAGUAGGGUUAAGGGGUGGUUUUUGCGAGGGAUUGAUGCUUUGAUUAGGUUUUGCAUGUAUAGGUGCAUGUGUUCUUCAGACAUGGUGAUAGGACACCCACACCUGUGGGGCGUCCUAAAAACCGGAGCGACAUGUGGUCAAGCCGCGUCCAAGAGGUGCCUUUGCCAUUGCGAAAUGGAAAAUUCUUUCGACAGAAGUAUCCGUGGGGAAAUCUCACUACCAAGGGUAGGCUACCAAUUGUUCUCCAUUCACUCGAUCGAUUAGGUUAUAUUCUUUCUUUUUCCCUCCCCCGGCAUACAUAACUCUGGUCUGAUGAUAACGUACUGGCAAUUUAAUUCUCUUCCAUCCGAAUAUUCUCAAUAUUGCCUGCACACCAUAUUACUCAAGAAGGUAUACUGAAUUAACAUCGGUAGAAGUGGAUUGAUUUUGUAACUCGACAUCGGAAAACCCUAGUUCUUAAAAGGUUGGGAGAAGAAAUGUGACAGGUGCGCAGCAGGCAAGGGAUUUGGGUGCGUGGUUAAGAGAGCACUACGUACCCCAGUUCAGCAACCCUGUGGGAAAGGUCAGGCUUCAGGAGGCGCCUGAGAAGUUCAUCAGCUUGCGCACAACUAGCUUUCUGCGCACCAAUCUCACUGGUAUUUAAGUCUUUUCAAUCCCUAUUCAGUAUGUAUUUGUUGAAUUCGUUUACGCUCCUGAUCCAUGUUUCUGCUCUCAACGAUUAUUAUUGGUUUCUGCAUUUGGAUUACGACUUUUAUGCGCUUCAGGCAGCCCAUUAUUAUUUUUAAUUUGUAGUUGAGAAAUUGUUUUGACACUUGGCUAUUCUUUGGAAUCCUCAGCCUG
This 1011-nucleotide long non-coding RNA is filed under the name Physcomitrium patens. RNAcentral describes it as "long non-coding RNA (PPAT_LNC003380)". Lineage: Eukaryota; Viridiplantae; Streptophyta; Bryopsida; Funariales; Funariaceae. The record is from RNAcentral.